Molecule: ribosomal RNA, 491 nt
Filed under: uncultured bacterium
Lineage: Bacteria
Description: bacterial SSU rRNA
Rfam family: Bacterial small subunit ribosomal RNA
Source: RNAcentral
AAAGGAAUUGACGGGAGCCCGCACAAGCAGUGGAGUAUGUGGUUUAAUUCGACGCAACGCGAAGAACCUUACCGAAGCUUGACAUCCCAGGAAGACUGCUGUAAUGGCGGUUGUGCCCUUCGGGGAACCUGGUGACAGGUGGUGCAUGGUUGUCGUCAGCUCGUGUCGUGAGAUGUUGGGUUAAGUCCCGCAACGAGCGCAACCCUUACGGUUAAUUACUACGCAAGAGUACCUUAACCGGACUGCCGUUGACAAAACGGAGGAAGGUGGGGACGACGUCAAAUCAUCAUGCCCCUUACGCUUCGGGCUACACACGUACUACAAUGGCGAGAACAAAGGGAAGCAAUCCCGCGAGGGGGAGCAAAUCCCAUAAAAAUCGUCCCAGUUCGGACUGCAGGCUGCAACUCGCCUGCACGAAGUUGGAAUUGCUAGUAAUCGCGAAUCAGCAUGUCGCGGUGAAUACGUUCCCGGGCUUUGUACACACCGCCCGU